Molecule: ribosomal RNA, 1247 nt
Filed under: Escherichia coli
Lineage: Bacteria; Pseudomonadati; Pseudomonadota; Gammaproteobacteria; Enterobacterales; Enterobacteriaceae
Description: partial 23S ribosomal RNA
Rfam family: Bacterial large subunit ribosomal RNA
Source: RNAcentral
GGUUAAGCGACUAAGCGUACACGGUGGAUGCCCUGGCAGUCAGAGGCGAUGAAGGACGUGCUAAUCUGCGAUAAGCGUCGGUAAGGUGAUAUGAACCGUUAUAACCGGCGAUUUCCGAAUGGGGAAACCCAGUGUGUUUCGACACACUAUCAUUAACUGAAUCCAUAGGUUAAUGAGGCGAACCGGGGGAACUGAAACAUCUAAGUACCCCGAGGAAAAGAAAUCAACCGAGAUUCCCCCAGUAGCGGCGAGCGAACGGGGAGCAGCCCAGAGCCUGAAUCAGUGUGUGUGUUAGUGGAAGCGUCUGGAAAGGCGCGCGAUACAGGGUGACAGCCCCGUACACAAAAAUGCACAUGCUGUGAGCUCGAUGAGUAGGGCGGGACACGUGGUAUCCUGUCUGAAUAUGGGGGGACCAUCCUCCAAGGCUAAAUACUCCUGACUGACCGAUAGUGAACCAGUACCGUGAGGGAAAGGCGAAAAGAACCCCGGCGAGGGGAGUGAAAAAGAACCUGAAACCGUGUACGUACAAGCAGUGGGAGCACAGAGCAAUCUGUGUGACUGCGUACCUUUUGUAUAAUGGGUCAGCGACUUAUAUUCUGUAGCAAGGUUAACCGAAUAGGGGAGCCGAAGGGAAACCGAGUCUUAACUGGGCGUUAAGUUGCAGGGUAUAGACCCGAAACCCGGUGAUCUAGCCAUGGGCAGGUUGAAGGUUGGGUAACACUAACUGGAGGACCGAACCGACUAAUGUUGAAAAAUUAGCGGAUGACUUGUGGCUGGGGGUGAAAGGCCAAUCAAACCGGGAGAUAGCUGGUUCUCCCCGAAAGCUAUUUAGGUAGCGCCUCGUGAAUUCAUCUCCGGGGGUAGAGCACUGUUUCGGCAAGGGGGUCAUCCCGACUUACCAACCCGAUGCAAACUGCGAAUACCGGAGAAUGUUAUCACGGGAGACACACGGCGGGUGCUAACGUCCGUCGUGAAGAGGGAAACAACCCAGACCGCCAGCUAAGGUCCCAAAGUCAUGGUUAAGUGGGAAACGAUGUGGGAAGGCCCAGACAGCCAGGAUGUUGGCUUAGAAGCAGCCAUCAUUUAAAGAAAGCGUAAUAGCUCACUGGUCGAGUCGGCCUGCGCGGAAGAUGUAACGGGGCUAAACCAUGCACCGAAGCUGCGGCAGCGACGCUUAUGCGUUGUUGGGUAGGGGAGCGUUCUGUAAGCCUGCGAAGGUGUGCUGUGAGGCAUGCUGGAGGUAUCAG